UAGCAAGGAGACUCAUUUAAGCAAAGGACACUUCCUGAAGUGUCCCCUUUUCCCUGGGCUCUUUCUCCAGCGGAGCAAUGUGAUCCACAAGCAAGGAGGGACACCAAUAAGGCAUCCAGUUGAAGACUCCAGAACCCUAAUGACACACAAUGAAGGACUGUACUUGAGAUGAUCUUAUGAGCAAGUGCAAACCAAGACUGAGAAAGCCAGGUGCAUCACCUGAGCAUCUACAGCCUGGAAACCAGCCGCUCUCAGCUCUUCAGUGGGGGCAGGGGACACAUGCUCAUGGCACAGCACUCAUGCGGAGGUCAGAAGAAAACCUACAGGGAAUCGGGGCUCCUCUAUCCUCUGUUUGGUUCCUA
This 362-nucleotide long non-coding RNA is filed under the name Cricetulus griseus (Chinese hamster). RNAcentral's name for it is "lncRNA (ENSCGRG00015035030.1)". Lineage: Eukaryota; Metazoa; Chordata; Mammalia; Rodentia; Cricetidae. The record is from RNAcentral.